Molecule: ribosomal RNA, 578 nt
Filed under: uncultured bacterium
Lineage: Bacteria
Description: partial 16S ribosomal RNA
Rfam family: Bacterial small subunit ribosomal RNA
Source: RNAcentral
UGGGGAAUUUUGGACAAUGGGCGAAAGCCUGAUCCAGCAAUGCCGCGUGUGUGAAGAAGGCCUUCGGGUUGUAAAGCACUUUUGUCCGGAAAGAAAUCCUUGGCUCUAAUACAGUCGGGGGAUGACGGUACCGGAAGAAUAAGCACCGGCUAACUACGUGCCAGCAGCCGCGGUAAUACGUAGGGUGCAAGCGUUAAUCGGAAUUACUGGGCGUAAAGCGUGCGCGGAGGCGGUUUGCUAAGACCGAUGUGAAAUCCCCGGGCUCAACCUGGGAACUGCAUUGGUGACUGGCAGGCUAGAGUAUGGCAGAGGGGGGUAGAAUUCCACGUGUAGCAGUGAAAUGCGUAGAGAUGUGGAGGAAUACCGAUGGCGAAGGCAGCUCCCUGGGCCAAUACUGACGCUCAUGCACGAAAGCGUGGGGGAGCAAACAGGAUUAGAUACCCUGGUAGUCCACGCCCUAAACGAUGUCAACUAGUUGUUGGGGAUUCAUUUCCUUAGUAACGUAGCUAACGCGUGAAGUUGACCGCCUGGGGGAGUACGGUCGCAAGAUUAAAACUUAAAUGAAUUGACGGGGUCAU